Non-coding RNA from Pelobates cultripes (western spadefoot toad), 221 nucleotides. The record is from the annotation of a GenBank genome assembly. NCBI's taxonomy places the organism in Eukaryota, Metazoa, Chordata, Amphibia, Anura, Pelobatidae.
CACGAAACAGACAGGCUCCCGGCAGCAACAGGAGCAGGACCGAUGGCACAGCGAAACCACGAGGUUGGAGAAAUCCAGCAGUCGGCAAACGCAAAAAAAACGGAGAGCAAGCCAGGAGACCGGACCACGUGGAUACGGGUGAGUGUAACUCGGCAGACCAAUUACCGUGGUAGAGGAUUGGAUGCCCUUAUGAAGGGGACCAAAGCCCCUUCCACAACUAC